GCCCGUGAUGCUCAGCUAGCCCGGGCAGAUCCGGCGUGCCCGCCUUGGCCCCCAUGCCCGAUCCAGAUUCUGUGCCGCUGGUAGACUUCACUGCCAUAUCCAACACCAGUAUCGUCCUCUUCAAUUUCGCUGCCCUCCACUCCACCAAGCCCAUCCCUUUUCAGAUUGCAAGAUUUAUCCGAUGCUCACGUUGAUUAGAGUGAUGUUGUAUACUCCUCUUUUCUCUCCUCGUCCCUCCCUCCGUCGGCUGUGGUUCAACCACGCAUGCCUUUGGUAACCAUGGGUUGCAGAUGGCAGCUUUGGUGGCGGCACUGUUUAGCCUAACGGUUGGUGCCGUGGUUGGAUUUGGAGAUCUCUAUACAACCUGGUUUCUGUUCCAGGAUCCAUGGAUUUGCAGAUGGCGGCUAUGGAGGCGACACCCUCCUGAUGGAGAUGGUCGUGAUAGAGUGCGUGUGUGCCGCUAAAGGUCGAUCCGAGUUCCAUCCACCUCCAUUUAGCUACUUCAAAUCUCCAACAAACUUUUGCUCGAUAGCCUUGUUGUCAUCUUAUGUCGUCGUAUGUGCCCUUCUUCUAAACUCCUCCACUGGGUAAACCACCUCCUUUUGGGGAGAUACCAUUCACUAGUGGCGCUCUUGGAGAGUAUGUGACCAUCCUGUCGCUCUCCUCCUCCUCUCGGAAUAACCACCCUCCGGUGGAGGAUCUGCGUGACAUUUAUGCGUGCUCGAUGAGCCCCGCUGUCUAUUGUUUUCCCCAAUGAUGGCAUCGGUGCGGCUUCCUGAUGAUGAUGCUUCGGUUUUCUCGGCUUAGUUUCCAAGCUUUGGUUUGAGCUCUCUGGUUAUGAUCCCCCGCCCUCUGGUGCUGUCUAUGACAGUCCUCCUCCUAUUGCUUGUGAUACCCCGUUCGUUGCUCAUGUUUACUGGGUUCAUCGGUGUUGUGUUGUAAUCAUGUACUGGGUUUUUUGUUUUUUCCUAUGUGUUCUUGCUCCGGCAAGUUGUAUUGCUCCUCGGGCUUUCUUUUGGGAAUAUAUUCAGGUGGGGUUUUCACCAC
Molecule: long non-coding RNA, 1047 nt
Filed under: Brachypodium distachyon (stiff brome)
Lineage: Eukaryota; Viridiplantae; Streptophyta; Magnoliopsida; Poales; Poaceae
Description: long non-coding RNA (BDIS_LNC005552)
Source: RNAcentral